GGUUGCGAUCAUACCAGCACUAAUGCACCGGAUCCCAUCAGAACUGCGCAGUUAAGCGUGCUUGGGCGAGAGUAGGACUAGGAUGGGUGACCCCCUGGGAAGUCCUCGUGUUGCAACCC
RNAcentral lists this ribosomal RNA (119 nucleotides) under Helianthus annuus (common sunflower). The record is from RNAcentral. Lineage: Eukaryota; Viridiplantae; Streptophyta; Magnoliopsida; Asterales; Asteraceae.